UCUUCCCUCUUUCUUCGUGCUUCCCCCCUGCACGUCGACCGGUGAAGGCGGAGCUUGCUCUGCUGGAUCAGUGGCGAACGGGUGAGUAACACGUGAGCAAUCUGCCCCUGACUCUGGGAUAAGCGCUGGAAACGGCGUCUAAUACUGGAUACGAGCUGCGAAGGCAUCUUCAGCAGCUGGAAAGAACUUCGGUCAGGGAUGAGCUCGCGGCCUAUCAGCUUGUUGGUGAGGUAACGGCUCACCAAGGCGUCGCCGGGUAGCCGGCCUGAGAGGGUGACCGGCCACACUGGGACUGAGACACGGCCCAGACUCCUACGGGAGGCAGCAGUGGGGAAUAUUGCACAAUGGGCGAAAGCCUGAUGCAGCAACGCCGCGUGAGGGACGACGGCCGUCGGGUUGUAAACCUCUUUUAGCAGGGAAGAAGCGAAAGUGACGGUACCUGCAGAAAAAGCGCCGGCUAACUACGUG
This 468-nucleotide ribosomal RNA is filed under the name uncultured bacterium. RNAcentral describes it as "partial 16S ribosomal RNA". It matches the Rfam family "Bacterial small subunit ribosomal RNA", at positions 36 to 507 of the family's 1533-position model. The record is from RNAcentral.